GGCUGGUUAGCUCAGUCAGUAGAGCGUAGCGCUAACAACGCUAAAGUCACGGAUUCUAUUCCUGUUCGGUCC
RNAcentral lists this transfer RNA (72 nucleotides) under Apaloderma vittatum (bar-tailed trogon). It matches the Rfam family "tRNA". From Rfam's summary of the family: Transfer RNA (tRNA) molecules are approximately 80 nucleotides in length. The record is from Rfam by way of RNAcentral. Lineage: Eukaryota; Metazoa; Chordata; Aves; Trogoniformes; Trogonidae.